RNAcentral lists this long non-coding RNA (257 nucleotides) under Mytilus galloprovincialis (Mediterranean mussel). Lineage: Eukaryota; Metazoa; Mollusca; Bivalvia; Mytilida; Mytilidae. The record is from RNAcentral.
AAAAGGGAUGAUUUUUCAUUUCCUAUCGUUAAUUAUCCGUUUUUAGAUGGUGACGUUCCCUUGUCACCAUCUUACGGUGUUUAUAUAUCUCAACUUGUACGAUUCGUUCGUGUAUGUAACAAUGUUUUGGAUUUUAACGAGAGAACUUUAUGUAUUACUGAAAAAUUAUUACACCAGGGUUUUCGAUAUCACAAACUAGUCAAAACAUUUACUAAAUUUUAUCAUCGGUAUAAAGACAUCAUUCGUAAAUAUAGCUC